GCCUAAAGCGUCCGUAGCCUGUUCUAUAAGUUUCCGGUUAAAUCCAUUAGCUCAACUAAUGGGCUGCCGAAAAUACUGUAGAACUAGGGAGUGGGAGAGGUAGACGGUAUUCGGUAGGAAGGGGUAAAAUCCUUUGAUCUAUUGAGGACCACCUGUGGCGAAGGCGGUCUACCAGAACACGUUCGACGGUGAGGGAUGAAAGCUGGGGGAGCAAACCGGAUUAGAUACCCGGGUAGUCCCAGCCGUAAACGAUGCAGACUCGGUGAUGCGCUGGCUUGUGGCCAGUGCAGUGCCGCAGGGAAGCCGUUAAGUUUGCCGCCUGGGAAGUACGUACGCAAGUAUGAAACUUAAAGGAAUUGGCGGGGGAGCACCACAAGGGGUGAAGCCUGCGGUUCAAUUGGAGUCAACGCCAGAAAUCUUACCCGAAGAGACAGCAGAAUGAAGGUCAAGCUGGAGACUUUACCAGACAAGCUGAGAAGUGGUGCAUGGCCGUCGCCAGCUCGUGCCGUGAGAUGUCCUGUUAAGUCAGGUAACGAGCGAGAUCCCUGCCUCUAGUUGCCACCAUUACUCUCAGGAGUAGUGGGGCGAAUUAGCGGGACCGCCGCAGUUAAUGCGGAGGAAGGAAGGGGCCACGGCAGGUCAGUAUGCCCCGAA
Molecule: ribosomal RNA, 654 nt
Filed under: uncultured archaeon
Lineage: Archaea
Description: bacterial SSU rRNA
Rfam family: Archaeal small subunit ribosomal RNA
Source: RNAcentral